RNAcentral lists this ribosomal RNA (301 nucleotides) under uncultured bacterium. RNAcentral describes it as "partial 16S ribosomal RNA". It matches the Rfam family "Bacterial small subunit ribosomal RNA", at positions 509 to 808 of the family's 1533-position model. The record is from RNAcentral.
CAGCAGCCGCGGGAAUACGGAGGGGGCUAGCGUUGUUCGGAAUUACUGGGCGUAAAGCGCACGUAGGCGGCUUGGUAAGUUAGAGGUGAAAGCCUGGAGCUCAACUCCAGAAUUGCCUUUAAGACUGCCGAGCUAGCAGGUGAGAGAGGUAAGUGGAAUUCCGAGUGUAGAGGUGAAAUUCGUAGAUAUUCGGAAGAACACCAGUGGCGAAGGCGGCUUACUGGCUCAUACUGGACGCUGAGGUGCGAAAGCGUGGGGAGCAAACAGGAUUAGAUACCCGAGUAGUCCCUGUCUCUAUACA